UGGAAGCGUCUGGAAAGGCGCGCGAUACAGGGUGACAGCCCCGUACACAAAAAUGCACAUGCUGUGAGCUCGAUGAGUAGGGCGGGACACGUGGUAUCCUGUCUGAAUAUGGGGGGACCAUCCUCCAAGGCUAAAUACUCCUGACUGACCGAUAGUGAACCAGUACCGUGAGGGAAAGGCGAAAAGAACCCCGGCGAGGGGAGUGAAAAAGAACCUGAAACCGUGUACGUACAAGCAGUGGGAGCACGCUUCGGCGUGUGACUGCGUACCUUUUGUAUAAUGGGUCAGCGACUUAUAUUCUGUAGCAAGGUUAACCGAAUAGGGGAGCCGAAGGGAAACCGAGUCUUAACUGGGCGUUAAGUUGCAGGGUAUAGACCCGAAACCCGGUGAUCUAGCCAUGGGCAGGUUGAAGGUUGGGUAACACUAACUGGAGGACCGAACCGACUAAUGUUGAAAAAUUAGCGGAUGACUUGUGGCUGGGGGUGAAAGGCCAAUCAAACCGGGAGAUAGCUGGUUCUCCCCGAAAGCUAUUUAGGUAGCGCCUCGUGAAUUCAUCUCCGGGGGUAGAGCACUGUUUCGGCAAGGGGGUCAUCCCGACUUACCAACCCGAUGCAAACUGCGAAUACCGGAGAAUGUUAUCACGGGAGACACACGGCGGGUGCUAACGUCCGUCGUGAAGAGGGAAACAACCCAGACCGCCAGCUAAGGUCCCAAAGUCAUGGUUAAGUGGGAAACGAUGUGGGAAGGCCCAGACAGCCAGGAUGUUGGCUUAGAAGCAGCCAUCAUUUAAAGAAAGCGUAAUAGCUCACUGGUCGAGUCGGCCUGCGCGGAAGAUGUAACGGGGCUAAACCAUGCACCGAAGCUGCGGCAGCGACACUAUGUGUUGUUGGGUAGGGGAGCGUUCUGUAAGCCUGUGAAGGUGUACUGUGAGGUAUGCUGGAGGUAUCAGAAGUGCGAAUGCUGACAUAAGUAACGAUAAAGCGGGUGAAAAGCCCGCUCGCCGGAAGACCAAGGGUUCCUGUCCAACGUUAAUCGGGGCAGGGUGAGUCGACCCCUAAGGCGAGGCCGAAAGGCGUAGUCGAUGGGAAACAGGUUAAUAUUCCUGUACUUGGUGUUACUGCGAAGGGGGGACGGAGAAGGCUAUGUUGGCCGGGCGACGGUUGUCCCGGUUUAAGCGUGUAGGCUGGUUUUCCAGGCAAAUCCGGAAAAUCAAGGCUGAGGCGUGAUGACGAGGCACUACGGUGCUGAAGCAACAAAUGCCCUGCUUCCAGGAAAAGCCUCUAAGCAUCAGGUAACAUCAAAUCGUACCCCAAACCGACACAGGUGGUCAGGUAGAGAAUACCAAGGCGCUUGAGAGAACUCGGGUGAAGGAACUAGGCAAAAUGGUGCCGUAACUUCGGGAGAAGGCACGCUGAUAUGUAGGUGAAGCGACUUGCUCGUGGAGCUGAAAUCAGUCGAAGAUACCAGCUGGCUGCAACUGUUUAUUAAAAACACAGCACUGUGCAAACACGAAAGUGGACGUAUACGGUGUGACGCCUGCCCGGUGCCGGAA
This 1552-nucleotide ribosomal RNA is filed under the name Escherichia coli. RNAcentral describes it as "partial 23S ribosomal RNA". It matches the Rfam family "Bacterial large subunit ribosomal RNA", at positions 333 to 1874 of the family's 2925-position model. Lineage: Bacteria; Pseudomonadati; Pseudomonadota; Gammaproteobacteria; Enterobacterales; Enterobacteriaceae. The record is from RNAcentral.